Molecule: ribosomal RNA, 654 nt
Filed under: uncultured bacterium
Lineage: Bacteria
Description: bacterial SSU rRNA
Rfam family: Bacterial small subunit ribosomal RNA
Source: RNAcentral
AGUCGAACGCUUCUUUUCUACCGAGUGCUUGCACUCACUUGAAAAGAGGAGAGGCGGACGGGUGAGUAACACGUGGGUAACCUGCCCAUCAGAGGGGGAUAACACUUGGAAACAGGUGCUAAUACCGCAUAAUAGUCGACACCGCAUGGUGUUGAUUUGAAAGACGCUUUCGGGUGUCACUGAUGGAUGGACCCGCGGUGCAUUAGCUAGUUGGUGAGGUAACGGCUCACCAAGGCGAUGAUGCAUGGCCGACCUGAGAGGGUGAUCGGCCACACUGGGACUGAGACACGGCCCAGACUCCUACGGGAGGCAGCAGUAGGGAAUCUUCGGCAAUGGACGAAAGUCUGACCGAGCAACGCCGCGUGAGUGAAGAAGGUUUUCGGAUCGUAAAACUCUGUUGUUAGAGAAGAACAAGUAGGAGAGUAACUGCUCUUACCUUGACGGUAUCUAACCAGAAAGCCACGGCUAACUACGUGCCAGCAGCCGCCGUAAUACGUAGGUGGCAAGCGUUGUCCGGAUUUAUUGGGCGUAAAGCGAGCGCAGGCGGUUUCUUAGGUCUGAUGUGAAAGCCCCCGGCUCAACCGGAAAGGGGUCAUUGGAAACUGGGAGACUUGAGUGCGAAAGAGGAGAGUGGAAUUCCAUGUGUACCCGUGA